Molecule: transfer RNA, 72 nt
Filed under: Pangasianodon hypophthalmus (striped catfish)
Lineage: Eukaryota; Metazoa; Chordata; Actinopteri; Siluriformes; Pangasiidae
Source: Rfam by way of RNAcentral
UACCUGGAGGACUAGUGGUUAGGCCAUGGCGCUCUCACCACUGUGGCCCGGGUUCAAUUCCCAGCCAGGGAA